UUUGUAUUUAUAGGAGUCAUAGUCCUGUCUAACCCUAAUCCCAUGAGAAGCCUUCCUCUCCCCCGAGACAGCCAAGCGUACUCAACGUGCAAGAACAAAAUCAUUGUAGUAGCCAUUAUCUCCCCGGUCCUGAUAAUAUCCUUGAUAUAGAUACGUUUGUACGGAAGCAAUUGGAAACUUCAGGGCAAUACCUCGAACCCGUAACAAGUGUAUGGUCCAAGGUAGUUUCCAUAGCAGAAGGGUUGUAUGCUAGAUUCUCUGCUGCAGCAGUUUUUUUAGGUCCUUACAAGGCUGGUUCUUUUUUCUUUGUUGACAUCUGCAAUAAGAAUCUUGACACGUUCGGUGACAAUCACUACUACGCACAGAUGGUGGAUACGAUGCACAGUUUGAUCAAAGUCCAGGGAGGUUGUUGUUAAGGAAACAAAUGAAGCUAAAAUGCUAAGAGCAGAGAAUAGUUGUGGCCAGAACCAGCCUUGAUCAAGGUAAGAGUAAUAUCCCUUUGAGAAUUGGCUAGAUUGAUCAAGGAAAAACGUUUUUCAAGCCAGGGUUAGGAAAAACAUCCCUUUAGGUUGCACAAUAUAAAUGUAGUAUCAAUGACGGAAAGGUGCUACAUGAUGUUUUUCUUUCAAAAAGACACACCUC
This is a long non-coding RNA of Brassica oleracea var. oleracea, 642 nucleotides long. RefSeq lists it as uncharacterized. NCBI's taxonomy places the organism in Eukaryota, Viridiplantae, Streptophyta, Magnoliopsida, Brassicales, Brassicaceae. The transcript has 5 exons. The record is from RefSeq and is a predicted model, not a curated record.